AGUGAACGCUGGCGGUAGGCCUAACACAUGCAAGUCGAACGGCAGCACAGUAAGAGCUUGCUCUUACGGGUGGCGAGUGGCGGACGGGUGAGGAAUACAUCGGAAUCUACUUUUUCGUGGGGGAUAACGUAGGGAAACUUACGCUAAUACCGCAUACGACCUACGGGUGAAAGCAGGGGAUCUUCGGACCUUGCGCGAUUGAAUGAGCCGAUGUCGGAUUAGCUAGUUGGCGGGGUAAAGGCCCACCAAGGCGACGAUCCGUAGCUGGGCUGAGAGGAUGAUCAGCCACACUGGAACUGAGACACGGUCCAGACUCCUACGGGAGGCAGCAGUGGGGAAUAUUGGACAAUGGGCGCAAGCCUGAUCCAGCCAUACCGCGUGGGUGAAGAAGGCCUUCGGGUUGUAAAGCCCUUUUGUUGGGAAAGAAAAGCAGCAGGUUAAUACCCCACUGUUCUGACGGUACCCAAAGAAUAAGCACCGGCUAACUUCGUG
This 492-nucleotide ribosomal RNA is filed under the name uncultured bacterium. RNAcentral's name for it is "partial 16S ribosomal RNA". It matches the Rfam family "Bacterial small subunit ribosomal RNA", at positions 29 to 507 of the family's 1533-position model. The record is from RNAcentral.